This is a long non-coding RNA of Rhincodon typus (whale shark), 1325 nucleotides long. RefSeq lists it as uncharacterized. NCBI's taxonomy places the organism in Eukaryota, Metazoa, Chordata, Chondrichthyes, Orectolobiformes, Rhincodontidae. The record is from RefSeq and is a predicted model, not a curated record. The transcript is spliced from 4 exons.
AAGAAAGGAGACUUUGCCUGUACAUUGUGGUUUUCAUUACUUCAUAGCUUUUCACAGCUAAAGAGAUAUUUGCUUCUCUAAUUCUCAGGGCUAAGGAUUUACUUCAUGGGCCAUAUGCAAAUAUCACCAGUCUACUUCUUACCCAGGCUGGAAGGGGAUACAGAUAGGUUGCUGAUGUGCAACAGAGUUCAUUCAUGAAUGCUUAACUGAGUCCAAAGCCCCACAAAGAGAUUCAGCUCAGCAGAGGUUAUUGAUGCAGCUGUCAAGAGGAUUCCUUGAAUAUACUUAAUGACCUGCCUUCAACAGCUCUCUGCGGUAAAAGAAAAUUCCACAGAUGCUGGAUGUUAUUGAUUGCUUCACGUAUGUAAAUUUCAUAAUCAUCAGCAAUAAUCUCUCAGUUAAUGCUGAAAUCAACACACACUUCACAAAAACCUCACCUGUUAUUUCCAACCUGAAUGAGAGAGUGUGCAACACUGGAAACCUGACCAAGAACAUCAACUGGGAGUCUUACCAAACCUCAGUGCAGGCCUUUAUAAUGCAGAACAAGGUCACUAACUCAGAGGUCCUGGAACUAAUUCUAUCAAUAUGUUCUCAUUGCUAAGCAAACAACAUCUGCCCUAGCUGGCCAUGGUCAUUAGAUGGAUGAUAGUUUUUGGGUACCAUUACAACCAUCUGUACAAUGUACAGGCCAUAGUCAUCCUUACCUCAUCUACAAGGACAUAUGCAAGCAAAAUUAUGAAGGUGACAGACUUAGACAUUAACAACUGGGAGAAAAUUACUGACAGCAAUGGCUUCUGGAGGUUGACUGUUUGGAAGGGUAUUAAAGAAGACUUAACCUAACUUCCUUAGGCACUGUAAAAUUCCAGCCAGCUCUUUGAGAUGAAAUGGAUCAAUAUCUUCUCUCCACAUUUUAAGAAGCAGGUUGAUGAUUUUUAUCUUCUAGAAUUGUUUGUUUUAAUUGUAUGAUUUUGCCAUUGUCAAAGUGCAUCUCCUAUAUCUAAUUGCUGAUCACAAACUAAAACCUCUUUCACUGUGCCUAACCCUAACCCCGACCCUAACCCAAACUUAUUUUAAUAAUGAAAAAAACUGAUUGUUAAUGGUUUUGUUAGGAAGUUGAGGAUAUACAUUUUGUGAAUAUACCAUGUGGGUAUAUAUUAUGUAAAACUGUGCCAAAUUUUGGUCCCAACAUUACACUAACAUUGAGCUUCUUGCACUAAAAUUAAUGAAGGAGGAAAACACCUUACAUAUGUUCAGAAAUUCAAAAUCUUGUAAUCUUUAAGGUAUUUCAAAAAAUUUAGUUUGGCUCAUGUCACUAAAAUGAAUGC